This 507-nucleotide ribosomal RNA is filed under the name uncultured bacterium. RNAcentral's name for it is "partial 16S ribosomal RNA". It matches the Rfam family "Bacterial small subunit ribosomal RNA", at positions 28 to 523 of the family's 1533-position model. The record is from RNAcentral.
GAUGAACGCUAGCUACAGGCUUAACACAUGCAAGUCGAGGGGCAUCAGUUUGGUUUGCUUGCAAACCAAAGCUGGCGACCGGCGCACGGGUGAGUAACACGUAUCCAACCUGCCUCAUACUCGGGGAUAGCCUUUCGAAAGAAAGAUUAAUAUCCGAUAGCAUAUAUUUCCCGCAUGGGUUUUAUAUUAAAGAAAUUCGGUAUGAGAUGGGGAUGCGUUCCAUUAGUUUGUUGGCGGGGUAACGGCCCACCAAGACUACGAUGGAUAGGGGUUCUGAGAGGAAGGUCCCCCACAUUGGAACUGAGACACGGUCCAAACUCCUACGGGAGGAAGCAGUGAGGAAUAUUGGUCAAUGGACGCGAGUCUGAACCAGCCAAGUAGCGUGAAGGAUGACUGCCCUAUGGGUUGUAAACUUCUUUUAUAUGGGAAUAAAGUGGUCCACGUGUGGAUUUUUGUAUGUACCAUAUGAAUAAGGAUCGGCUAACUCCGUGCCAGCAGCCGCAGUAA